UUUGACUGGAAAUUCAGAAAUCUGGUCAUACAGCAGCUCCUGGCCAUGCCUCAGACCAUACUCACCUCAGCACUACACCACCUGUUAUUACUGCCUUUGAGUCCUCAAAAUUAUCUCACAUUUCCCCUUCCCCAUUAGUCCAUUCCUCAUCAUUCUCUGCACCAUCACCUUUUUUCUCCUCAUCCUUCUCACCUUCUGCUCACUCAUCAUCUCCCCCACAACCAUCACUCCCUCCUGCCUCUCCAUUUACUCAUCCUGAAGCCAUAUUUGCCAUGCACCAAACUUCUGCCACAGUUCACCCUGCUGAUCCCAGCCAAUUUAUCAUCAAAGACUCCACUUUCCAGGAGGCUCUGGAAUGUAACUCCCACAGAUGGCAAGGAAACACUGCAUAUCUUCCCUCCCACAACAGCGAUGCACUUAAUGAAUUGGGCCGAGAUAAUUAGUGAAAGCUUUCUGUGUUAAAGAGAUGCAGCUAUUGAGCCAAUAUACAUAUAUACUGAUCGUUCAUUUAAUCCUUUAUGUCAUAAAACUUCUCUGAAAAAAUCUAGUGAAUAAUUUUUCCUCUAUCACUGCACUGUCCUUGAUCUAAAUUACAUAUUAAAACUACACAUGAUAGUGUAAUGAUCAGUAUGCUUGGCUCACAAACCACAUAUAUAUAUAUAUAUAUAUAUAUAUAUAUAUAUAUAUAUAUAUAUAUAUAUAUAUAUAUAUAUAUAUAUAUAUAUAUAUAUAUAUAUAUAUAUAUAUAUAUAUAUAUAUGCUUGGCUUUGUCUCCAAACUCUCCCCCAUAGAGAGACUGUAUUAACCUGCAGAAAUAAAGCUAUCAUUCAGGGAAACUGGUUUGUUUGCCAAACAAACAUUACAUUGCUGAAUAUUCUGUGGCACCAAAUGCUUUGUCAGGAAUUGUGGCAAUGAUAUUUCAAUCCUUGUCUUUGCAUCCUACAAUUUGUAUGCUGAACAUAAACCUUAUCAACAAG
Molecule: long non-coding RNA, 977 nt
Organism: Scylla paramamosain (green mud crab)
Lineage: Eukaryota; Metazoa; Arthropoda; Malacostraca; Decapoda; Portunidae
Exons: 2
Source: RefSeq, a predicted model, not a curated record